UGUAAGGUUUAUAAAUACAGCUACAUUUUUCAAAGUCUCAACACUCUCAUUUUUCAAUAAAUCUUUCAUUUUUUCCUCUCUAUUUUUCACUCUUUUCUUAUAAGAAUUGCACGUUAAUAGUGGUCAAUAUCUCACAACCAAAACUUCAUUAUCCCUCACUCACAUCAACAACCACCAGUCCACCAUAUCUCCUUAAAUGGUUCAUUGUAUAGGCCGACAAUUAUUAUUACUUUUGGGAAUUAUAUCAUAGCAAGACAUCAUUUAUCAUUAACCAAUGUUAAUGAUAAAUGACAUACAAAGCAACUGUGAUUUUCUUGAUUAAAUUGACUUACAUUAUCUAUACGUCAUUGGUCCAGUACAAAAAUCUGCUUCAACAAGCUUCUGACAGUUUUGUUCAACCACUUCCAUUGAUGCUAAAUUGGUAAAGAGCAAAAUUGUAUGUAUUAUGCCUAUUGAGAGUUGAUGCUAUUGGUGUCUUGAUGCAAGAUCGAAGUUAUAGGGAUGUUGAUCGGUUAUAGAGAUGUUGCUGCUCUUUCUUUUUAGCUGGAUGUCACCUUUAAUCAAAUGACUCCUCUAGCAUAAGCAAAUACAAAAAUUCUGAAAUGUAUGACUCCUCUAGCAUAAGCAAAUACAUAAAUUCUGAAAGGCAUAUGAACUGCAAUUUCUAUAAACACUUAUAAUUAUUUAAAAAAAUCUUGACUUCUUUCUAUUAAUAUUUUGUAGAACUCCCAUGACAACUGUAUUAAAGUCGCAUGAAUAAAUUAAAUGCAUCUAUAUCAUUUUAAUAUUGUAACUAACUUUUUUCAUGUUUGUUUGAUGUUGUAGCAUGACUUAAUUGUUCUCGGAGAUGAUAUCAUAAAUAGUAUUAAUUGUUCCACACAAGUUAGUAAUAAAUGGAAAUCAUGGAUACCAAAAAAUCAAAAAGAACAAGAUCAACAAUGUUUCUUCAUCCCGGUUGGAUAUCUCUUCAUAUCCCAAAACAAUUGUUUCUCUCCAUCUAUCUCUAAGUGUUUGUAGUUGUCUCAAUGACACACAAAUCGUCAAGAAAUAAAAAUGUAUCCAACAAGAAACCAAUGUUUCAACAACAUGCAACACAUUUGGUGUUGGGUCAAGCUCUGAUUGUUCAACCAAUGUUGGUGAUCCCUGGAUGAUCAAGAAGGUUCUGACAAAGAGUGAUCUUGAUGAUAAUUGUAGACUUUUGUUAAAUAAGGACAUGACUUAGAAAUGGGUGGUUCCUAUGGUAGAUAAAGUUAGAGUUGAGAAAGAUUGAGUUAAGGUUGAAGUGUUUGAUGUUGACACUAGAAAGAUGGAGUUGGAGUUAAAAACUUCAACAAUACAUGAAUCACAAAUUUUAUAGAUAGAAGAAGCUUAAAAAAAGGAGAUGAAAUUGGUCUCAAUUGGAAAAAAAACAAGGAAAAGUUUGAUUUUCAAUUCUUGAUCGGUCUUGAUGAUAAUUAGUAUUAGUUUAUAAUUCGUUAAUUUUUAUAGAUUGUGAUUAUUUGUAAACAUGGAUGGAAGAUUUGUGUUUUGAUGUUAUUAUUUGUAAUCAAUCGUUGCUUUAAAAAAACGAGAAAAAAAAACUGCAUUGUUUAACA
Molecule: long non-coding RNA, 1595 nt
Organism: Lathyrus oleraceus (garden pea)
Lineage: Eukaryota; Viridiplantae; Streptophyta; Magnoliopsida; Fabales; Fabaceae
Exons: 4
Source: RefSeq, a predicted model, not a curated record